CGCUAUCACUCCUACGGGAGGCAGCAGUGGGAAUCUUGCGCAAUGGGCGAAAGCCUGACGCAGCCAUGCCGCGUGGAUGAUGAAGGUCUUAGGAUUGUAAAAUCCUUUCACCGGGGACGAUAAUGACGGUACCCGGAGAAGAAGCCCCCGGCUAACUUCGUGCCAGCAGCCGCGGUAAUACGAAGGGGGCUAGCGUUGCUCGGAAUUACUGGGCGUAAAGGGCGCGUAGGCGGACAGUUAAGUUGGGGUGAAAGCCCCGGGGCUCAACCUCGGAAUUGCCUUCAAUACUGGCUGUCUUGAGUACGGGAGAGGUGAGUGGAACUCCGAGUGUAGAGGUGAAAUUCGUAGAUAUUCGGAAGAACACCAGUGGCGAAGGCGACUCACUGGCCCGUUACUGACGCUGAGGCGCGAAAGCGUGGGGAGCAAACAGGAUUAGAUACCCUGGUAG
This 448-nucleotide ribosomal RNA is filed under the name uncultured bacterium. RNAcentral's name for it is "bacterial SSU rRNA". It matches the Rfam family "Bacterial small subunit ribosomal RNA", at positions 328 to 793 of the family's 1533-position model. The record is from RNAcentral.